This 253-nucleotide ribosomal RNA is filed under the name uncultured bacterium. Its description in RNAcentral is "partial 16S ribosomal RNA". It matches the Rfam family "Bacterial small subunit ribosomal RNA", at positions 524 to 776 of the family's 1533-position model. The record is from RNAcentral.
UACGGGGGGGGCAAGCGUUGUUCGGAAUUACUGGGCGUAAAGGGCUCGUAGGUGGCCAACUAAGUCAGACGUGAAAUCCCCAGGCUCAACUUGGGAACUGCGUCUGAUACUGGAUGGCUUGAAUUCGGGAGAGGGGUGCAGAAUUCCAGGUGUAGCGGUGAAAUGCGUAGAUAUCUGGAGGAAUACCGGUGGCGAAGGCGGCAUCCUGGACCGAGAUUGACACUGAUGAGCGAAAGCUAGGGGAGCAAACGGG